UAAUAAGUUAAUAUUGCGUUGGAAAAUGUAGAAAAACUUCAUUGAGAAUUUUUUUCUAUCAUUAUUAAAUGGCCCAAAGGAAAUUAUAAGUCGUCAUCAACUAAGAGUAAAAUGUAUUAUUCUACACACUACUAGAAAAUGAGGUAAUAUAGAUAGAAUUUUACCGAUGGACGAUUUCCGUUGUUAUUACCAAUAGAAUUACAACAAAUUAGAAACGUAUUAUUAUUGUUUUGUUAUUAAAAAUUAAAUACUAAGUUAACGACAAAAUUUCC
RNAcentral lists this long non-coding RNA (272 nucleotides) under Olea europaea (common olive). RNAcentral describes it as "long non-coding RNA (OEUR_LNC009387)". The record is from RNAcentral. Lineage: Eukaryota; Viridiplantae; Streptophyta; Magnoliopsida; Lamiales; Oleaceae.